AUAUCUCGACGUCAAGUGACGGCAACAUGGUGAUGAUAUUCGCCAAAUGGAUGUUGGCACCGAAUACGACGAUGUUCAAUCCUACUUGGCAGGUUGGUCCUGCAGUGGACUUAGUGGCACAUGAGUUUCUUCCUGAAAAUUUGAAUGCUUAUGCUGUUAAUACGACGUUGGUGACCGAUGGAAGUGGAGAUUCUCCUCCGAUGACACCUCCAAUGACUCCUCCGACGACUGAGCCAAGUUCGGCUACGACCUUUGGGAGCUCCAUGUUUUGUGCU
This 275-nucleotide long non-coding RNA is filed under the name Zostera marina. RNAcentral's name for it is "long non-coding RNA (ZMAR_LNC004790)". The record is from RNAcentral. Lineage: Eukaryota; Viridiplantae; Streptophyta; Magnoliopsida; Alismatales; Zosteraceae.